GGCGUAGCUCAGUUGGUUAGAGCGCCAGGUUGUGGCCCUGGAGGUCGUGGGUUCGACCCCCAUCG
RNAcentral lists this transfer RNA (65 nucleotides) under bovine gut metagenome. It matches the Rfam family "tRNA", at positions 6 to 65 of the family's 71-position model. From Rfam's summary of the family: Transfer RNA (tRNA) molecules are approximately 80 nucleotides in length. Their secondary structure includes four short double-helical elements and three loops (D, anti-codon, and T loops). The record is from RNAcentral.